RNAcentral lists this ribosomal RNA (498 nucleotides) under uncultured bacterium. Its description in RNAcentral is "partial 16S ribosomal RNA". It matches the Rfam family "Bacterial small subunit ribosomal RNA", at positions 355 to 844 of the family's 1533-position model. The record is from RNAcentral.
UGGGGAAUUUUGGACAAUGGGGGCAACCCUGAUCCAGCAAUGCCGCGUGUGUGAAGAAGGCCUUCGGGUUGUAAAGCACUUUUGUCCGGAAAGAAAUCGCCCUGGCUAAUAUCCGGGGUGGAUGACGGUACUGGAAGAAUAAGCACCGGCUAACUACGUGCCAGCAGCCGCGGUAAUACGUAGGGUGCAAGCGUUAAUCGGAAUUACUGGGCGUAAAGCGUGCGCAGGCGGUUGUGCAAGACAGAUGUGAAAUCCCCGGGCUUAACCUGGGAAUGGCAUUUGUGACUGCACGGCUAGAGUGUGUCAGAGGGGGGUUAGAAUUCCACGUGUAGCAGUGAAAUGCGUAGAUAUGUGGAGGAACACCGAUGGCGAAGGCAGCCCCCUGGGAUAACACUGACGCUCAUGCACGAAAGCGUGGGGGAGCAAACAGGAUUAGAUACCCUGGUAGUCCACGCCCUAAACGAUGUCAACUAGUUGUCGGGUCUUAAUUGACUUGGU